RNAcentral lists this unclassified non-coding RNA (378 nucleotides) under uncultured Holophagae bacterium. Its description in RNAcentral is "contains 16S-23S intergenic spacer region". The record is from RNAcentral. Lineage: Bacteria; Pseudomonadati; Acidobacteriota; Holophagae.
UCCGGUUUGUCACCGGCAGUCUCAUUAGAGUGCUCAACCGAAUGUAGCAACUAAUGACAAGGGUUGCGCUCGUUGCGGGACUUAACCCAACAUCUCACGGCACGAGCUGACGACAGCCAUGCAGCACCUGAACCGGAAGUCCCCGAAGGGAGAAAGUCAUCUCUGACCCUUUCCUCUGUAGUUCAAACCCAGGUAAGGUUCUGCGCGUUGCUUCGAAUUAAACCACAUGCUCCACCGCUUGUGCGGGCCCCCGUCAAUUCCUUUGAGUUUCAGUCUUGCGACCGUACUCCCCAGGCGGAGUGCUUAAUGUGUUGACUUCGGCACAGCAGGGGUCGAUACCCGCUACACCAAGCACUCAUCGUUUACGGCGUGGACUAC